Molecule: unclassified non-coding RNA, 823 nt
Filed under: Hevea brasiliensis (rubber tree)
Lineage: Eukaryota; Viridiplantae; Streptophyta; Magnoliopsida; Malpighiales; Euphorbiaceae
Source: RNAcentral
GCUUGUGAAGCAUUAUUACCUAAGAAGGUAGAUCAUGAAUUUGGUACAACAGUGUACUGUUCAUAUUACAUUCGCCAAGAGGCCAUCAUAAAUAGAGCCCCCAACUCUUUCUUUUUCCAUUUUCCUUUUCCUCUCCUUCAAUUAUAUUUGCAACUUCGUUUGAAAAAAAAAAUAAUAAAAAAAAACCUUUGCUUUCUCAUCGAGUCGAUCAUGGGUAGUCACAAUGAAAAUGAGAUUUAUGAAAGGUUUAAAAAAUGCUUUAUGGAUCCCAAGGAAAUCACUCAAAAGCUUCUUCGGUUAUUAAUCUCUCAUUAUUGCUAUUAUUAUUAGCUUAUGUUUUCUGAUUUUGGUUUCCUUAAGCUCAUGAGUACAUGUUUUGCAUUUUGAUGAUUUCCUUGUGACCUAUAUUUUCACAUGCUUAUCUGAUUUAAUUUGGGUUUUGAAUUUGCUGGAUGGGAAGGGUAUGCCACUUCAGCAUUAUAUAACUGGUUCACUUAAAAUGUAUUGAAUUUGCAAACGUGUAAAGCAGAGUGCCUCUUUGUCACAACAAAAAUCAUCUGAUCAAAAUUUGCUGAACCUCCUAACAAGUAUUCUUAUUUCUGCAUUUUUAUAGAUGUCUAAUUAGCAUAUAAACUGAUUGUAUUUUCAUCCAUAAUUACAGGCCUUGCGGAUUAUUGACAAUGCAACAGUAUGUAACCGGUUCAGUUGAAACUUGUGUUUAAAAGGAAUGCUUAUCAUUUUGUUAAUCGAGUGUAGGGUUGGGGAUUGGUUGAAACUUAUAUUCAGGGAUAUACUUUAGGAACAUUGCACCUUUUUUGUGCGA